GAGACCUUACCCACUCAAUUCCGAGAGCAAUCAGCUAAUAGGAAUGAGUUUGGUCAACCUAGGUCGUUCGAGGAAUUUGUGUGGCUCUCAAACUUGUCUGGGUUUGCUUCUAAAAAGAAGGAAAACGAGGGCUAUUAGCUCAGGUGGUUAGAGCGCACCCCUGAUAAGGGUGAGGUCCCUGGUUCGAGUCCAGGAUGGCCCACCUUCGGAACGCUCAAAGAGAUUUGUCUCUUUAAAUCGGUUCUCUGAAAGAGAAUCAAAAGUUUUGCCUUCCAAGAAGAAAUAACGUGAGUUCAGCAACUUCUAACGAUUCAGAAGACUGCUGAACUAAUGUUCAGCCAGAACCUUGAAAACUGCAUAGCAACAAAAGCCAAAGCAAGGUAGUCGAGAGUCAACAGCGAUC
RNAcentral lists this transfer RNA (403 nucleotides) under Limnothrix redekei TAU-MAC 0310. RNAcentral describes it as "partial 16S-23S ribosomal RNA intergenic spacer". The stretch from base 129 to 202 matches the Rfam family "tRNA". Lineage: Bacteria; Bacillati; Cyanobacteriota; Cyanophyceae; Pseudanabaenales; Pseudanabaenaceae. The record is from RNAcentral.